RNAcentral lists this ribosomal RNA (684 nucleotides) under Bacillus stratosphericus. RNAcentral's name for it is "bacterial SSU rRNA". It matches the Rfam family "Bacterial small subunit ribosomal RNA", at positions 41 to 709 of the family's 1533-position model. The record is from RNAcentral. Lineage: Bacteria; Bacillati; Bacillota; Bacilli; Caryophanales; Bacillaceae.
GGCGCUGCCUAAUAAUGCAAGUCGAGCGGACAGAAGGGAGCUUGCUCCCGGAUGUUAGCGGCGGACGGGUGAGUAACACGUGGGUAACCUGCCUGUAAGACUGGGAUAACUCCGGGAAACCGGAGCUAAUACCGGAUAGUUCCUUGAACCGCAUGGUUCAAGGAUGAAAGACGGUUUCGGCUGUCACUUACAGAUGGACCCGCGGCGCAUUAGCUAGUUGGUGGGGUAAUGGCUCACCAAGGCAACGAUGCGUAGCCGACCUGAGAGGGUGAUCGGCCACACUGGGACUGAGACACGGCCCAGACUCCUACGGGAGGCAGCAGUAGGGAAUCUUCCGCAAUGGACGAAAGUCUGACGGAGCAACGCCGCGUGAGUGAUGAAGGUUUUCGGAUCGUAAAGCUCUGUUGUUAGGGAAGAACAAGUGCGAGAGUAACUGCUCGCACCUUGACGGUACCUAACCAGAAAGCCACGGCUAACUACGUGCCAGCAGCCGCGGUAAUACGUAGGUGGCAAGCGUUGUCCGGAAUUAUUGGGCGUAAAGGGCUCGCAGGCGGUUUCUUAAGUCUGAUGUGAAAGCCCCCGGCUCAACCGCGGAGGGUCAUUGGAAACUGGGGAAGUUGAGUGCGCAAGAGGGGAGAGGGUAUCCCGUGUAGCCGGGAAAGGGUGGAGGGGUGGGGGAGACAG